This 140-nucleotide small nucleolar RNA is filed under the name Moschus moschiferus (Siberian musk deer). RNAcentral's name for it is "Small Cajal body specific RNA 11 (ENSMMSG00000021412.1)". It matches the Rfam family "Small Cajal body specific RNA 11". From Rfam's summary of the family: scaRNAs are a specific class of small nuclear RNAs which localise to the Cajal bodies and guide the modification of RNA polymerase II transcribed spliceosomal RNAs U1, U2, U4, U5 and U12. Lineage: Eukaryota; Metazoa; Chordata; Mammalia; Artiodactyla; Moschidae. The record is from Rfam by way of RNAcentral.
UCGUCCUGGCCUGUGGUUUUUCUGCUCCCCUGUGCUCAGUUCUCAGGGGGCACUCCGGCAGGACGCACAGCAAGCUCCCUCUCAGUUUAGGAGGGCCGUCCUGAGAAUAGGGCUGGCUCUUAAAGGCACGAGAGGACAGU